GUAGGUUGGGAAGAUCUCCUGGAGAAGGGAAAGGCUACCCACUCCAAUAUUCUGGCCUGGAGAAUUCCAUGGAGUAUUAGUCCAUGGGGUUGCAAAGAGUUGGACAUGUCUGAGCAACUUUCACAAUUAGAUUUAAAACUGUAUGAAAACCAGGCAUCUCCAGCUUUUGGGAGCUUCCCUCUCUUUUGAGACCCUGAGUCACAUACAGCAGCAGAGCUUCCCCAGGUAUCUGGGAUCCCACAGGGAAAUCAUCCAUGUCCUCCUUCAUUCUGACUCUUACCCAUCCCCUCAGUCAUCUGUUUGUAUAUGAGCAUUCUUCAUCCUUCUUAGGUCAUUUCUUGCUUGGGCAACAAGUCUCUCCUUCCUACUGAUUUUCUAUUUCUUCUACACAACAAGGGGAGGUUUGGGCCUUGCUUAUGUCAUAGAUAAGAUCAGGCUGUAACAUCAAGCAAACAUACCUGAAGGGGUAUUUGUAGUACAAGAGAAUUACAACAUAGAAAAUAUUACAGUGGGUCAUGCCCUUAGAGCCCAGUGGCCAUGCCUGUCUGCAAGAGGGAAUUGGCCCAGUGUCUCUCCCCUUAGCUCUCUGCUUCACCAGCCCACCUGUCCUCAGUAGAAAGGCUUUGUCCAGGCCAGUCUCUUCAGUUCUGCAGUUGUAUUUAUUCUAAGAUGCCAUUAGCUGUAAGGUGCAGCAUUAUUUUAUACACCUCUUGACCAGUCAAGAAUUUAUUUACAAAGGCACUAGUUACCGAGGUGUAGGAGAACCACCACGAAAAGUGUAGAAACCUAGGGCUAACAUCUGAGGAACUGUCACCACCUUCACAUAAAAGAAUGAGGGGUGGGGGAUAUUACUGGAAGGGGAGAGAAUUGUAGAGUGACCACCAGACUCAGGUGAGCUCAUGGGCAGAGAACUGUGUGAAUGUAUACUCUGCUCUUCCCCUCCUUCCCUCCCUUCCUCCCUUUUGUCUCCUGGUCUCCUGCCAGGCUGCUCCAAGUGGCCCAGCCCAACCUGAAGCCAGUGGGCACAGGAGCACAUCCACAGAGGGCAAACUUCAGCUUCAUGAGAAGUGUGGAAAGUGGAUGAAUGGAAGACAUCUCUGCAACAGACCCCAAGGAAGAAUAAAUUCUGCCAAUUAAACUAUGAGACACUGUUCCCUUGUCACUUGAAAUUUCUGUGUUACACCUACUGAAAGAGCUGUUAGACAUAUAAAAGGAAUUUGUUUUUGUCAUGUAGUACUUUUCUGGAUUUAAGAUAACUUCACAUUUCAAUACUGAACAAAAGUACAAUUUUUUGGAAAACAUUUUGUGGCAAAUAUUUUUUCCCCAAAGGUGAUCACGAUAACAGCUCUUGCCCAACAUGUGCUUCUGGCACCUCACGACUGCCACACUGAGAGGGGAAGUCUAGUUUCUCCUCGCUCGAAUCUAGGCUCUUUUGUGACUUGCUUGUAACCGAUGGACAGCAUCUGACACGGUGCCUCAUGACUUCUGAAGCCAGCUCUGAAAAUGAUAGUGUAAAUUCCACCUUGUUUGCUUGAAUAGUUGCUCUGGAGCCCAGAGCUUCCAUGUUAACAGUCUGACUGGUCUCUGGCCACCAUGUUCGGAGGAACCCAAACUAAUAAAACUCAGAAGGAUUCCAGGGAGAAGUCUCGGGACUAGUGAAGAGAGAUCGAUGCUUUGCCAGUUUCCAGCUUCUCCUGCUCCCUGCCUCAGUUGUUCUGGUUCCAGCCAAUCUGGGACUGCAGUCUCAUGAGAGAUGUUUUAACCAGAAGCAUCCAGUCAAGAUUUCCUGAAUUCCUGCCCCACAGAAAGUGUGAGAUGAUAAAAUGAUUGCUGUUGUUUUAAGCCAUUGAGUUUUGAAGUGAUUAGCUAUGUAACAAGAGUAACCAAAGCAAUUUUGAAUGCCAGUUAUACUCAACAGAUGUAGUGCCAGUGAUGUCUGUAAUUAACUGAAGUGAUGACAGUAAGAAUAACUGUAACCAAGUUUGCACAGGUGGUGAUAACUAUGUCAUCUUGGCCAGUAUCCUGGCCAAAAACAUUUGUGAAGUGCCAUACAUUUUAAGAUGCUUCCUAGUGAGAAAGAAAAUGCAGUUUAGUACUGACAAAAUGUGGUAGUAUUGGUGUUGAGAGAGGGACAAAACUAAGUAGGGUUGGGAACUGGUUGGUAAAGUGAUUUUGAAAAAGCUUAAUAUUUAAUAGUUAAGAUGAUACAUACUCAUUUACUCAAUAAAUAAAUAUCAAAUGAGAACAACCUAUUUAGGUCAUGAAACCACCAAAUGUAACCAUCCAGAGAUCAACAUUCAGAUUUCUAAAGGCACAUGGAUGCAUUUAUAGAUAUGUGGACAUAUACUUUAUAAUUGAAUUCAUCCUUUACUGCAGCCUACUAUUUCACCAGUCAAAAAUGUGCUAACUUCAUGUUUCUACCUCAAAAGAUGUAAAACUACAUUCUUUUAUUUUAAUGAUAGCAGAGUCUCUCAUUUACUUUACCAAUCACCCAGUGAUGGACAUUUUGUUUUGUCUCAUUUCAGGGUUGCUUUAUCAUUAUUAAAACAACGGGCAUGUUGAUGCCCUCCCCCCACCCCCCACCAUUUUGUAGCUGUCUUUUUGUGGAGUUUUCUACAUAUGAGAUCUUUGGGUUGAAUCAGAUGUGCCAUUAUAAUUUGGUAUGGAUUGACAAAAGUGCCUUCCAGAAAGGCUGUAUCCAUUCUUACUUAUAUAAAAAGUUUUGGAAAAUGCCAGUUUUCUCUCUCCUUUGCCGAUGAAGGAGUUCAGAGUGUGUCACCCCCAUAAUACAUGAUUUAUUUAUUAUUUUGCAUUAAAGUCACUUGAGAGAUGGUGGAUGCAAGAUGGGCGUUCAGACCCUCCUUUUUAUUCCUGAAGGCAAGAGAUAAAACUCCCUUGUGAAAGGUGCCCUUUCUGUACCAGGAGAAAGGAAGAUGUUCUUAUCACCAAAGACACAGAACUGAGGCAGAAAGAAAUCUGUACACACAGACCUUGUUCAAAUAAUUCUUAUCUUCCUUUAGCCUCUCUAUAUUGUUUAGUUACUUUUCUCAUGGAGAAGGAGAUGGCAAUCCACUCCGAUAUUCUUGCCUGGAGAAUCCCGUGGACAGAGGAGCCUGGAGGACUACAGUCCAUGGGGUGGCAAAGAGUCAGACACAACUGAGCCACUGAACCACUUUUCACAAUUGCUUCCUUUUUUUGAGGGGCUAAUAUAAAAGCAUGUAGGUUCUGCUAUUUCUUUUACUCUGCAUUCCUUAUGAAGGCUCCCAUGUCAUGUAAAUUUUAAUAUGAGUGUGUAUACUUUUCUCCCUUAGUCUAUCUUAUGUCAGAUUAAUUCUCAGGCCAUGCUGAAAAAUCCUAAGAGGGUGGGAGUAAAAAUCUGCCUCCUCCAUACCAACAUUUGUUUUUUGUCAUUCAUCUGAUCCUAGUCCUAUGGUUUAAAAAGAUUUCUUUUUUGUUGUUCUUGUGUGUGUUUUGGAAAAUAAUGAAACUGAACAUCUUUUCCUACUUUUUGUCCAUUUUAAUUUCUCCUUUUGUGAAUUUAUUAUUCAUAGUCUUUGACCAUUUUUUAUAGUUGAUUUGUAAGGGCUCUUUGUCCAUCCUGU
Long non-coding RNA from Bos taurus (domestic cattle), 3602 nucleotides. Lineage: Eukaryota; Metazoa; Chordata; Mammalia; Artiodactyla; Bovidae. The record is from Ensembl.